GGCUUACUCUCCUCUCAUUCUCGAUGCAAACAGAGAAUGGAGAGAGAGAGUGAGGGAGGGAGAGAGAGCGGGUGGUCUUUGGUCUUCUCAGCAGGUCUGGGCUCUGACCUGGUUCUGCUAAUAGGUCCAGACUGUUCCUGGGGAGCUGGGUGGAAGAGGUGGAUGGAGGAGGCAGAGAAAGUGGGGCCCAAAGUCUGUGACCCCUUGGCGGCGGGGGCGACGGGAGGAAAUGCAGAGCAGCAGGGGAAGUGGGAGCACCUGUGAAGAACCAGCACCGGAUAACAAAGAUAUGCAGAUGAGGGCGAGGCGGCGAGCUCUGGAUCGGCGCCAGCGAGAUCGACUCUCACAAUAGCAGGG
RNAcentral lists this long non-coding RNA (357 nucleotides) under Betta splendens (Siamese fighting fish). RNAcentral's name for it is "lncRNA (ENSBSLG00000001623.1)". Lineage: Eukaryota; Metazoa; Chordata; Actinopteri; Anabantiformes; Osphronemidae. The record is from RNAcentral.